AGAUGAAUCAAAGAAGGUAAUAAUCCUGUAGUCGAAAAUGUUGUCUCUCUUGAGUGGAUCCUGAGUACGACGGAGCACGUGAAAUUCCGUCGGAAUCUGGGAGGACCAUCUCCUAAGGCUAAAUACUCUCUAGUGACCGAUAGUGAACCAGUACCGUGAGGGAAAGGUGAAAAGCACCCCGGAAGGGGAGUGAAAUAGAACCUGAAACCGUGUGCUUACAAGUAGUCAGAGCCCGUUAAUGGGUGAUGGCGUGCCUUUUGUAGAAUGAACCGGCGAGUUACGAUUUGAUGCAAGGUUAAGCAGUAAAUGUGGAGCCGUAGCGAAAGCGAGUCUGAAUAGGGCGUUUAGUAUUUGGUCGUAGACCCGAAACCAGGUGAUCUACCCUUGGUCAGGUUGAAGUUCAGGUAACACUGAAUGGAGGACCGAACCGACUUACGUUGAAAAGUGAGCGGAUGAACUGAGGGUAGCGGAGAAAUUCCAAUCGAACCUGGAGAUAGCUGGUUCUCUCCGAAAUAGCUUUAGGGCUAGCCUCAAGUGAUGAUUAUUGGAGGUAGAGCACUGUUUGGACGAGGGGCCCCUCUCGGGUUACCGAAUUCAGACAAACUCCGAAUGCCAAUUAAUUUAACUUGGGAGUCAGAACAUGGGUGAUAAGGUCCGUGUUCGAAAGGGAAACAGCCCAGACCACCAGCUAAGGUCCCAAAAUAUAUGUUAAGUGGAAAAGGAUGUGGCGUUGCCCAGACAACUAGGAUGUUGGCUUAGAAGCAGCCAUCAUUUAAAGAGUGCGUAAUAGCUCACUAGUCGAGUGACACUGCGCCGAAAAUGUACCGGGGCUAAACAUAUUACCGAAGCUGUGGAUUGUCCUUUGGACAAUGGUAGGAGAGCGUUCUAAGGGCGUUGAAGCAUGAUCGCAAGGACAUGUGGAGCGCUUAGAAGUGAGAAUGCCGGUGUGAGUAGCGAAAGACGGGUGAGAAUCCCGUCCACCGAUUGACUAAGGUUUCCAGAGGAAGGCUCGUCCGCUCUGGGUUAGUCGGGUCCUAAGCUGAGGCCGACAGGCGUAGGCGAUGGAUAACAGGUUGAUAUUCCUGUACCACCUAUAAUCGUUUUAAUCGAUGGGGGGACGCAGUAGGAUAGGCGAAGCGUGCGAUUGGAUUGCACGUCUAAGCAGUAAGGCUGAGUAUUAGGCAAAUCCGGUACUCAUUAAGGCUGAGCUGUGAUGGGGAGAAGACAUUGUGUCUUCGAGUCGUUGAUUUCACACUGCCGAGAAAAGCCUCUAGAUAGAAAAUAGGUGCCCGUACCGCAAACCGACACAGGUAGUCAAGAUGAGAAUUCUAAGGUGAGCGAGCGAACUCUCGUUAAGGAACUCGGCAAAAUGACCCCGUAACUUCGGGAGAAGGGGUGCUCUUUAGGGUUAACGCCCAGAAGAGCCGCAGUGAAUAGGCCCAAGCGACUGUUUAUCAAAAACACAGGUCUCUGCUAAACCGUAAGGUGAUGUAUAGGGGCUGACGCCUGCCCGGUGCUGGAAGGUUAAGAGGAGUGGUUAGCUUCUGCGAAGCUACGAAUCGAAGCCCCAGUAAACGGCGGCCGUAACUAUAACGGUCCUAAGGUAGCGAAAUUCCUUGUCGGGUAAGUUCCGACCCGCACGAAAGGCGUAACGAUUUGGGCACUGUCUCAACGAGAGACUCGGUGAAAUCAUAGUACCUGUGAAGAUGCAGGUUACCCGCGACAGGACGGAAAGACCCCGUGGAGCUUUACUGUAGCCUGAUAUUGAAAUUCGGCACAGCUUGUACAGGAUAGGUAGGAGCCUUUGAAACGUGAGCGCUAGCUUACGUGGAGGCGCUGGUGGGAUACUACCCUAGCUGUGUUGGCUUUCUAACCCGCACCACUUAUCGUGGUGGGAGACAGUGUCAGGCGGGCAGUUUGACUGGGGCGGUCGCCUCCUAAAAGGUAACGGAGGCGCUCAAAGGUUCCCUCAGAAUGGUUGGAAAUCAUUCAUAGAGUGUAAAGGCAUAAGGGAGCUUGACUGCGAGACCUACAAGUCGAGCAGGGUCGAAAGACGGACUUAGUGAUCCGGUGGUUCCGCAUGGAAGGGCCAUCGCUCAACGGAUAAAAGCUACCCCGGGGAUAACAGGCUUAUCUCCCCCAAGAGUUCACAUCGACGGGGAGGUUUGGCACCUCGAUGUCGGCUCAUCGCAUCCUGGGGCUGUAGUCGGUCCCAAGGGUUGGGCUGUUCGCCCAUUAAAGCGGUACGCGAGCUGGGUUCAGAACGUCGUGAGACAGUUCGGUCCCUAUCCGUCGUGGGCGUAGGAAAUUUGAGAGGAGCUGUCCUUAGUACGAGAGGACCGGGAUGGACAUACCUCUGGUGUACCAGUUGUCGUGCCAACGGCAUAGCUGGGUAGCUAUGUGUGGACGGGAUAAGUGCUGAAAGCAUCUAAGCAUGAAGCCCCCCUCAAGAUGAGAUUUCCCAACUUCGGUUAUAAGAUCCCUCAAAGAUGAUGAGGUUAAUAGGUUCGAGGUGGAAGCAUGGUGACAUGUGGAGCUGACGAAUACUAAUCGAUCGAAGACUUAAUCAA
RNAcentral lists this ribosomal RNA (2570 nucleotides) under Staphylococcus argenteus. RNAcentral describes it as "partial 23S ribosomal RNA". It matches the Rfam family "Bacterial large subunit ribosomal RNA", at positions 348 to 2925 of the family's 2925-position model. The record is from RNAcentral. Lineage: Bacteria; Bacillati; Bacillota; Bacilli; Caryophanales; Staphylococcaceae.